CCUACGGGAGGCAGCAGUGAGGAAUAUUGCGCAAUGGGCGAAAGCCUGACGCAGCGACGCCGCGUGAGGGAUGAAGGUCUUCUGAUCGUAAACCUCUGUCAGCAGGGGAGUACGGUCACUGUGCUGAUCAUCCUUGCAUUUACGUUACCUACAAAGGCAGCACCAGCUCACUCCGUGCCAGCAGCCGCGGUAAUACGGAGGGUGCGAGCGGUAAUCGGAAUUGCUGGGCGUAAAGCGCGCGUAGGCGGUAUGUCAAGUCAAGGGUGAAAUCCCCGCGCUCAACGUGGGAACUGCCUUUGAAACUGGCAAACUGGAGUGUGUGAGAGGAGAGUGGAAUGCGAGGUGUAGGAGUGAAAUGCGUAGAUAUCUGGAGGAACAGCAGUGGCGAAGGCGACUAGCUGGAAUAUAACUGACGCUGAGGAGCGAAAGCGUGGGUAGCAAACAGGAUUAGAUACCCUAGUAGUC
RNAcentral lists this ribosomal RNA (465 nucleotides) under uncultured bacterium. RNAcentral describes it as "partial 16S ribosomal RNA". It matches the Rfam family "Bacterial small subunit ribosomal RNA", at positions 338 to 795 of the family's 1533-position model. The record is from RNAcentral.